This 73-nucleotide transfer RNA is filed under the name Lawsonia intracellularis PHE/MN1-00. It matches the Rfam family "tRNA". Rfam says of the family: Transfer RNA (tRNA) molecules are approximately 80 nucleotides in length. The record is from Rfam by way of RNAcentral. Lineage: Bacteria; Pseudomonadati; Thermodesulfobacteriota; Desulfovibrionia; Desulfovibrionales; Desulfovibrionaceae.
GGGCAGUUAGCUCAGUUGGUAGAGCAUCGCUUUCACAUGGCGGGGGCCACAGGUUCAAGUCCUGUACUGCCCA